This 459-nucleotide ribosomal RNA is filed under the name uncultured bacterium. Its description in RNAcentral is "partial 16S ribosomal RNA". It matches the Rfam family "Bacterial small subunit ribosomal RNA", at positions 338 to 795 of the family's 1533-position model. The record is from RNAcentral.
CCUACGGGUGGCAGCAGUGAGGAAUAUUGGUCAAUGGGCGGAAGCCUGAACCAGCCAAGUAGCGUGCGGGAUGAAGGCCCUACGGGUCGUAAACCGCUUUUGCACGGGGAUAACACCCUCCACUUGUGCAGCUUUGCAUGUACCGUGCGAAUAAGGGCCGGCUAAUUCCGUGCCAGAAGCCGCGGUACUACGGAGGGCCCGAGCGUUAUCCGGAUUCAUUGGGCUUAAGGGGAGCGUAGGCGGGCGUUCACACCAGCUGUAAAAUCGCGCGGCUCAACCGCGCCCCGCAGUUGAAACUGGAAGCCUUGAGUUCACGACAGGCAGGCGGAAUUCGUGGUGUAGCGGUGAAAUGCAUAGAUAUCACGAGGAACCCCGAUUGCGAAGGCAGCCUGCCGGGGUGCGACUGACGCUGAGGCUCGAAGGUGCGGGUAUCAAACAGGAUUAGAUACCCCUGUAGUC